CCGCCGGCGACCGGCGCACGGGUGAGUAACGCGUGGGUAACCUGCCCUGUACAGGGGGACAACAGUUAGAAAUGACUGCUAAUACCGCAUAAGCGCACAGGACCGCAUGGUCCGGUGUGAAAAACUCCGGUGGUACAGGAUGGACCCGCGUCUGAUUAGGUAGUUGGCGGGGUAACGGCCCACCAAGCCGACGAUCAGUAGCCGACCUGAGAGGGUGACCGGCCACAUUGGGACUGAGACACGGCCCAAACUCCUACGGAAGGCAGCAG
This 269-nucleotide ribosomal RNA is filed under the name uncultured bacterium. RNAcentral describes it as "partial 16S ribosomal RNA". It matches the Rfam family "Bacterial small subunit ribosomal RNA", at positions 85 to 354 of the family's 1533-position model. The record is from RNAcentral.